Molecule: ribosomal RNA, 221 nt
Filed under: uncultured bacterium
Lineage: Bacteria
Description: partial 16S ribosomal RNA
Rfam family: Bacterial small subunit ribosomal RNA
Source: RNAcentral
GUUCUCAGUUCGGACUGCAGUCUGCAACUCGACUGCACGAAGCUGGAAUCGCUAGUAAUCGCGGAUCAGCACGCCGCGGUGAAUACGUUCCCGGGCCUUGUACACACCGCCCGUCACACCAUGGAAGUCUGCAAUGCCCGAAGCCGGUGGCCUAACCACUUAUGUGGAAGGAGCCGUCUAAGGCAGGGCAGAUGACUGGGGUGAAGUCGUAACAAGGUAUC